GUAAGGGAUAUUGCGACAAUGGACGAAAGUCUGACGCAGCAACGCCGCGUGCGGGAUGACGGCCUUCGGGUUGUAAACCGCUUUUCGGGGGGAAGAGGAAGGACGGUACCCCCGGAAUAAGUCUCGGCUAACUACGUGCCAGCAGCCGCGGUAAAACGUAGGAGGCGAGCGUUAUCCGGAUUUACUGGGUGUAAAGCGCGUGCAGGCGGUUUAGCAAGUCGUGCGUGAAAGCGCCCGGCUCAACCGGGCGAGGUCGUGCGAAACUGCUUAACUUGAGGUAGGUAGAGGCGUGUGGAAUUCCGGGUGUAGUGGUGAAAUGCGUAGAGAUCCGGAGGAACACCAGUGGCGAAGGCGACACGCUGGGCCUGACCUGACGCUCAGACGCGAAAGCAUGGGUAGCGAACGGGAUUAGAAACCCGAGUAGUCC
Molecule: ribosomal RNA, 427 nt
Filed under: uncultured bacterium
Lineage: Bacteria
Description: bacterial SSU rRNA
Rfam family: Bacterial small subunit ribosomal RNA
Source: RNAcentral